AUUCUUAUAAUAAAAAUUCUUUCCAAAUUUUCUAACGUUUUUAUUUACAGAUUGUGAGCUUCCUGACUAUUAUUGGUAAUUCGAUGAGCCUUGUUAAUAUUUACAGCUACAAGUUUCUAAAGUAUUGUACUAUGGUGGAGAAGGCCAAAGCCCUAAGCAUGAAUAUAUCAUCUAUGGGAGAAUUAACUUCAGCACAGUUUAAUACUAUACUGCAUAAAUUCAAAAACUACUUUGGACAUAUUGUGACUAUGGCUAUUGAGAAACGCAUUGGCAUUUUCAGUGUUUUAAGUUUUGAUUAUCAGUCAGAAUGCUUACUGUAUAUCGAUAACAUCAUACAUAUGAGCCAGGACCUCUUGCUGCAUAUAACUGAGGGAAAAAAUACAAGCCUACUGGAAAUUGUAGAAUCAUCAUUGCGACAACUGGAAUGUGAUCCCACUAAAAUGGAAGA
Molecule: long non-coding RNA, 448 nt
Filed under: Fukomys damarensis (Damara mole-rat)
Lineage: Eukaryota; Metazoa; Chordata; Mammalia; Rodentia; Bathyergidae
Description: lncRNA (ENSFDAG00000028053.1)
Source: RNAcentral